Molecule: long non-coding RNA, 120 nt
Organism: Triticum dicoccoides
Lineage: Eukaryota; Viridiplantae; Streptophyta; Magnoliopsida; Poales; Poaceae
Exons: 3
Source: RefSeq, a predicted model, not a curated record
CCCCGCCGGACCUCGCCUCCGACCGGUGUUCCCUCGCUGGAGGCCUCCCUGCGCCGCCCGACGCCAUGGCGCCGGCACACCGCGCCCGUCCGCCUCCAUGCCCGCGCCAGAUCGGAAGAG